Molecule: ribosomal RNA, 507 nt
Filed under: uncultured bacterium
Lineage: Bacteria
Description: partial 16S ribosomal RNA
Rfam family: Bacterial small subunit ribosomal RNA
Source: RNAcentral
GACGAACGCUGGCGGCGUGCUUAACACAUGCAAGUCGAACGGGCCUUGUCCCCUUUUUUUUGGGGGUGGGGUUAGUGGCGAACGGGUGAGUAACACGUGAGUAACCUGCCCCUCACUUCUGGAUAACCGCUUGAAAGGGUGGCUAAUACGGGGUGUUCUGGCCUGCUCGCAUGGGUGGGUUUGGAAAGAUUCGACCGGUUUUGGUUGUUUUGGUGGGGGAUGGGCUCGCGGCCUAUCAGCUUGUUGGUGGGGUGAUGGCCUGCCAAGGCUUUGACGGGUAGCCGGCCUGAGAGGGUGGGCGGUCACACUGGGACUGAGACACGGCCCAGACUCCUACGGGAGGCAGCAGUGGGGAAUAUUGCACAAUGGGCGCAAGCCUGAUGCAGCGACGCCGCGUGAGGGAUGGAGGCCUUCGGGUUGUGAACCUCUUUCGCCAGUGAAGAAGGUCCUGCUCUUUGUGGUGGGGUUGACGGUAGCGGGGUUAAUGAAGCGCCGGCUAACUACGUG